This 360-nucleotide ribosomal RNA is filed under the name Priestia megaterium. RNAcentral's name for it is "bacterial SSU rRNA". It matches the Rfam family "Bacterial small subunit ribosomal RNA", at positions 79 to 433 of the family's 1533-position model. The record is from RNAcentral. Lineage: Bacteria; Bacillati; Bacillota; Bacilli; Caryophanales; Bacillaceae.
UGCUUCUAUGACGUUAGCGGCGGACGGGUGAGUAACACGUGGGCAACCUGCCUGUAAGACUGGGAUAACUUCGGGAAACCGAAGCUAAUACCGGAUAGGAUCUUCUCCUUCAUGGGAGAUGAUUGAAAGAUGGUUUCGGCUAUCACUUACAGAUGGGCCCGCGGUGCAUUAGCUAGUUGGUGAGGUAACGGCUCACCAAGGCAACGAUGCAUAGCCGACCUGAGAGGGUGAUCGGCCACACUGGGACUGAGACACGGCCCAGACUCCUACGGGAGGCAGCAGUAGGGAAUCUUCCGCAAUGGACGAAAGUCUGACGGAGCAACGCCGCGUGAGUGAUGAAGGCUUUCGGGUCGUAAACUC